Molecule: ribosomal RNA, 334 nt
Filed under: uncultured eukaryote
Lineage: Eukaryota
Description: partial 18S ribosomal RNA
Rfam family: Eukaryotic small subunit ribosomal RNA
Source: RNAcentral
CCCUUAGAUGUUCGGGGCCGCACGCGCGCUACACUGAAGUGAUCAACUGGUACGUUUCCUGGUCUGGAAAGAUCGGGGAACCCGUUGAACCUCCUUCGUGCUAGGGAUUGGGGCCUGCAAUUGUUCCCCAUGAACGAGGAAUUCCCAGUAGGCGCGAGUCAUCAGCUCGCGUCGAUUACGUCCCUGCCCUUUGUACACACCGCCCGUCGCUACUACCGAUUGGAUGGUUUAGUGAGACCCUUGGACUGGUCCCGUGGUGGUGGUUCGCCACUGCUGCGUGUGUGCCGGGAAGAAGGUCGAACUUGACUAUCUAGAGGAAGUAAAANUCGUANCA